RNAcentral lists this ribosomal RNA (497 nucleotides) under uncultured bacterium. RNAcentral's name for it is "partial 16S ribosomal RNA". It matches the Rfam family "Bacterial small subunit ribosomal RNA", at positions 28 to 507 of the family's 1533-position model. The record is from RNAcentral.
GAUGAACGCUGGCGGCGUGCCUAAUACAUGCAAGUCGAGCGAACGGACGAGAAGCUUGCUUCUCUGAUGUUAGCGGCGGACGGGUGAGUAACACGUGGAUAACCUACCUAUAAGACUGGGAUAACUUCGGGAAACCGGAGCUAAUACCGGAUGAUAUUUUGAACCGCAUGAUUCAAAAGUGAAAGACGGUCUUGCUGUCACUUAUAGAUGGAUCCGCGCUGCAUUAGCUAGUUGGUAAGGUAACGGCUUACCAAGGCAACGAUGCAUAGCCGACCUGAGAGGGUGAUCGGCCACACUGGAACUGAGACACGGUCCAGACUCCUACGGGAGGCAGCAGUAGGGAAUCUUCCGCAAGGGGCGAAAGCCUGACGGAGCAACGCCGCGUGAGUGAUGAAGGUCUUCGGAUCGUAAAACUCUGUUAUUAGGGAAGAACAUAUGUGUAAGUAACUGUGCACAUCUUGACGGUACCUAAUCAGAAGGCCACGGCUAACUACGUG